GAUGAACGCUAGCGGCAGGCUUAACACAUGCAAGUCGAGGGGUAGAAAUAGCUUGCUAUUUUGAGACCGGCGCACGGGUGCGUAACGCGUAUGCAACCUACCUUGAACAGGGGAAUAGCCCAGAGAAAUUUGGAUUAAUGCCCCAUGGUAUUUUGAGAUGGCAUCAUCUUAUUAUUAAAGAUUUAUCGGUUCAAGAUGGGCAUGCGUCCCAUUAGUUAGUUGGUAAGGUAACGGCUUACCAAGACGAUGAUGGGUAGGGGUCCUGAGAGGGAGAUCCCCCACACUGGUACUGAGACACGGACCAGACUCCUACGGGAGGCAGCAGUGAGGAAUAUUGGUCAAUGGGCGCAAGCCUGAACCAGCCAUGCCGCGUGCAGGAUUAAGGCCCUAUGGGUUGUAAACUGCUUUUAUACGGGAAGAAACAGUGCUUCGUGAAGCACCUUGACGGUACCGUAAGAAUAAGGAUCGGCUAACUCCGUG
This 480-nucleotide ribosomal RNA is filed under the name uncultured organism. RNAcentral describes it as "bacterial SSU rRNA". It matches the Rfam family "Bacterial small subunit ribosomal RNA", at positions 28 to 507 of the family's 1533-position model. The record is from RNAcentral.